UGGGGAAUUUUGGACAAUGGGCGAAAGCCUGAUCCAGCAAUGCCGCGUGUGUGAAGAAGGCCUUCGGGUUGUAAAGCACUUUUGUCCGGAAAGAAAUCCUUGGCUCUAAUACAGUCGGGGGAUGACGGUACCGGAAGAAUAAGCACCGGCUAACUACGUGCCAGCAGCCGCGGUAAUACGUAGGGUGCAAGCGUUAAUCGGAAUUACUGGGCGUAAAGCGUGCGCAGGCGGUUUGCUAAGACCGAUGUGAAAUCCCCGGGCUCAACCUGGGAACUGCAUUGGUGACUGGCAGGCUAGAGUAUGGCAGAGGGGGGUAGAAUUCCACGUGUAGCAGUGAAAUGCGUAGAGAUGUGGAGGAAUACCGAUGGCGAAGGCAGCCCCCUGGGCCAAUACUGACGCUCAUGCACGAAAGCGUGGGGAGCAAACAGGAUUAGAUACCCUGGUAGUCCACGCCCUAAACGAUGUCAACUAGUUGUUGGGGAUUCAUUUCCUAGUAACGUAGCUAACGCGUGAAGUUGACCGCCUGGGGAGUACGGUCGCAAGAUUAAAACUUAAAGGAAUUGACGGGGUCAUAGCUG
This 578-nucleotide ribosomal RNA is filed under the name uncultured bacterium. Its description in RNAcentral is "partial 16S ribosomal RNA". It matches the Rfam family "Bacterial small subunit ribosomal RNA", at positions 355 to 932 of the family's 1533-position model. The record is from RNAcentral.